GCCUGGGUGGCUCAGUCGGUUGAGCGUCUGACUUAGGGCUCAGGUCAUGAUCUCACGGCCUGUGGGUUCGAGCCCCGCGUCGGGCU
This 86-nucleotide transfer RNA is filed under the name Felis catus (domestic cat). It matches the Rfam family "tRNA". Rfam says of the family: Transfer RNA (tRNA) molecules are approximately 80 nucleotides in length. The record is from Rfam by way of RNAcentral. RNAcentral also lists the same sequence under 1 other name. Lineage: Eukaryota; Metazoa; Chordata; Mammalia; Carnivora; Felidae.